AAAACGGAUACCGUAAGGAGAAAUGGGUGUUGAAAAGUUGCCAAAGUAGCUGCAAUUCAACAGGUUGAAUCCAUAAUAAUAGUCAUCAGAAGUAAAAGCUAUAAUUUGGGAGCCAGGGGUGCUUAAGCAAGCGACUCUAUAUCUUUUUUUAUACAAAGCCUUCUCUUGGCUUGAACAUUCAAACAAGGUAUAGUUGGAUUCAGCUGGUUGGGAUCUAUAAACUUUUAGGCGGCUGAAACCUGGUUGUUCCUCCGCGAAUGGAAAGGCAGAUAAAUUGAGAUAAAAAAGCUGCUUCCAGAGGCAACGGCCGGGAACGUACAAGUCAAUCCGCUGAGCUUCAUAAUCUAUGUGCUUCACCAACAGCUUCAGCGAACGUGGUAUCCUCAGCAGGGUCUGUUUGUUUUCUGAGCAGGAAAGCUGAAACCCAGGAUGAGGAUAGCCGCAGUGGGGUGACUGCUGGCCUUCUAAACGAAAGGGGAAACGGACAGGUGGAUCCUGGUGGUUGCACCGCUGCACCUUGCAGUCGUCUUGGAUUGGCACUGCUUCUGCAACAUUCACAGCUAAGAUAAAGCAGAAUAACGAGUAAAUUAACAUUGUUCUUACUAACUUGUGAGCCCCUGAAGUGAAACGGGCUUUAAAUAGUUUCAUUGACAUAGGUGGUUCAGCCCUUGAGAGUUCCAAUUAUGCACGCAACGCAGCUGCUGCUUUACUAUAUAGAUUUGUCUCGUUUAACAGGGUCUUCAACUCUUCGUCCUCUCUUUGUCCUCUUUUAUGAGUAAAUGUUGGACAUGUUUGAUUGUUAGCAACCCUUUCUAAUCUUGUUACUAAUUUUCUUUUAUUACCGUUAGUUGUAGUAAAAUUUGAGGAAAAAACACUGAACAUGAGAAUGAAUACCGAUUUGCUGUUGUGAUCAUAGUGGGGUUAGCUUGACUGACUUUUGUUUUUCCACCUUCGUUUCACUACAUUUUGUUUGGUAUGACUAAGAAGUUGACUGACUUUUAUGGGUUCUUUUUAAUGUCUAUCGUUUCUUUUCUAAUGUAGGUGGUUUUUUUCUCACUUUCUUUUUUUCUAAUUUAUCUUUUACUUUUAAAAAUGGCAAAACUCGAAUCAUAUGUUUUUAAAUUACUUAUACAAAUUUUUUAAAAGUGGAUACAAGACAAUGAGAUGAUUUUUUCCACAUGAGUAUGAAACAAUUAUAGUCAUUGUUUGCUCUACUCACCCUAUCUCGAAAUAAUCUUUUACCUUUCUUUGUAUAUAAUUAUUAAAAUGAUAAAAAUGUAAUAAUAUAUUAUAGAAAAAAUUCAUAUGUUUUAUACUUAUAUUUUUUAAAAAUUAUGUUUAAAUAUUUACUUGUCUUAAAAAAAGUAAAAUUAUUAAAAUAACUAGAAAUAAAAAUUAAAUUAAAUUAGAGCGAAGCAAGGUGAGAUGGGAUGGGGAUGGAUGCUUCUAAUAUCUAUGCGGUGAUAGUAAUUUUUCAGAUUAUACAUCCAACACAAGUAAAAAUUCAUAUGCAAGGAAUCAAAAUAUCAGUCCACUAAGCCAAUAAUUUAAUUACAACAUUAAGAUAAUUUAAAACGUAACGAUUACAAACUAAUUUUUUAAAUGUUGGUUGCUUAAAACGUAAGGAUCACAUGCACUAUAAACGUAAGGACCACCGUUGAAAGCCAUGCAAAAAUCUACAAUUUUAUAUUUAUAUGUACAUAUAUACAUAUACAUAUACACGUAAACACUAUAAAUCAUGCCAACCAUUAACAAAGCCAUGCAAAUAUUUAUAUUUAUAUUUAUAUAUUUCAUAUAUUUAUACAUUCACAUGCACAUAACUAAAUACGACAUCAUGCAAAUAUAGUUAUGUACAGAAUAUUGAUAUAUUAUCUCAUUAAUUUUAAAAAUAAACAACACCAAAAGACCAAGCUUUACACUACUCACACGACAUAACAUUGGGUUCACGAAUCCUCAAAGCACUACUCCCUCUGGGCUUUCUAUUAACAGCAACCUCCUUUGUCUUUAUUUGGUUGUGGCUUCUAUGCAGAUUAGACGAGAGGCUUCAAUGGAUGAUAUAAAAGAGGUGGUGUUGGUCAGUGUUGGGCAGAGGUGGCCUGAUGUCGGUGCAAGGAGAUCAACGGUUAGGGACGAGGGUGACUGUGGAGCGAUGAGAUGUUGGGGCGACGGAAGAACUCACGAUGGCGGUGAUAGGGCGGACAAUGGUGCAUUGAUGGAGAUGACUCCAAGGCAGCGUGAUGAAAGGGAGGGACGACUUGGGGCAGUUGGCUGACGGUGUGGCGACUAAGAGGAUCGGUGCUUAGUGAUGGAAUGAAGGAGAUAAUGCCUGACGUUGGGGAGUGAAAGGUGGUAAUCAGUCUUUUAUUAGGUUUGAUAGUAGGAAAGUUUGACCAAAUGUAUUCAUUCUUUUUUAGUCAUAACUCUGAAACCUAAUUGAUGAUGAUGAUAGAGCACACACACCUAAGCCACCACUCUCUCGACUAAGUACAGUUUUUUUUGUUGCUUUUGAAAAUUGUUUUUAGAAAAUACCUUUAAAAAAUACUUUUAAAAAAUUUGAAUAUUUGGUAUUGCUAUAAAAAAAUAUGAUAUUAUAAAGUAAUAAAUAUGUGUUUAAAUAAUAUUCAAAUUAGUUAAUAUUAUGAUAUUUUAGCAAAAAAAUAAAAAAUAAUUUAUUAUAACUUAUUGUUAAUAUUUUAAUAUAUAAUAUUAAUUUUAAAUAUUUCUAAGUAAUUAAUAUUAAUUAUUUAUUAACUUUAAUUAGAAUAUAUAAACUAUAUUUAAAUAUUUAAAUAUAAUAAUUAAAUAAUUGUAAUUAGAUAUUGACACAACUGUAUUAUUAUAAAAAUUAUUUUUUAUUUUUAAUUAAUGCUUUUAACACAUUUGUAUUAUUUUAUUUUAAAAUGUAUUUGAAUAUAUAACUCAUAUUAGAUAUUAACAUAACAUAGAAAACAUAAACCUAAAAAAUUAAAAUAUUACAUAUAUUUGGAUUAAAGUUUUAAAAAGGGAUAAUAUUUAUAUACCAAAUAUAAAUACUAAAAAUUUUACAAUAGCAUUUACAAUUUAAAGUGAAUUCAUUAAACUAGAAGCUAUAGCAUCUCUUGUUAAUUCCAUUUCAAAACCACUUGAAUUGUUUGAUUCACUGUCAUCAUCACUAUCUUCGUCGUCGUCGUCAUCAUCAUCACUUUAUCGACCAUGCGCAUUUUCUGAAUCAAUAAUUGUAAUAGCCCGAUUUUAGGCUUAGUCGGAACAGUGGUUUCGGGACCACAAAUCCGACGAAAAAAAAUGUAAUGGCUUGAAUUUUCAGAGGUGUCGGAACGGUGAUUCGAGAUCACUAAAUUCGACAAAUGGGUAGAAAAUAUUAUUAAUUUAGUAAGUAUAAGUUAAAUAUGAAGUUAGGAAAAUUUUUGAAAUAGUGAAUAGUGCACUAGAAAUAAAUAUUAAAAUAAUUAGAAUCGAAAUGAGGUAUCAAGACCUCGGGGAUUUUAAACUGAGCCAUAAAUAUUUUUAUAAAUAUUUAUGGAGUGUUAAAAAGUUAGUAUUAUAGUUUCGUUAAGAAAUUUUAAAGUUCUGAUAAUUAAUUGAACAAAAAGGACUAAAUUGUAACAAAUGCAAAAUUUUGGGAAAUGAUUAAAUAGCUUAAAUGAUAAAAGGAAGAGGGCUUAAAAGGCAAAUAGACCCAAGGUCUAUUUGGGCUGGACGGCAGAGGCAUGAAAUCAGCAAGAAAGAAAGGAGAAUUAAGGGAAAAAUUGGAAAAUUGCAAAAUUUGCUUAAUAAAGUUAGGACCCAAGUGGAAUUAUCUAGAUUUCUCUUCAUUUUUUUGAAUUCUCAUCAGCUAAAACACCAUGGAAGGGCUUCUUCAAGCUGGUUCUUCAUAUUUUUAUUACAAGUAAGUUCAAUUCUUGACUAUUUCUUGAAAUUUUUGUAUUUUUAUGACUUUUACAACUAGGCCCACUUGUUAAAUCCAUUAUUUUUUGAUUUUAUGAAAGAAGUUGAAAGUUGAUAUGAAUAUGUGCUGGAAGUAUAUGAUGAUUUAGCAUGAAAUUAGAGCUUUAAAUUGUUCAUAUGCUGAUUUUAUUGAAAGAAUUGAAUAGAAAGUGAAUGUUUGGGACCUAAUAGUAAAAGAGUUUGAAGAUAGAGUUAUAUGUGGAAAUUCUGAAUUUCAAUAGUUGUGUAACAACUUAUAAUGUCUAGUAAAGUACUAAUUGAGAAAAUUAGAUUAAUUGAGGGGUUAAUUGAGAAAGGACCGAAUUGUAUAAACUGUGAAAUUUGGGGCAAAAUGGAAAUCAACAUUUUGCACUAAAGCAGUUUUGGACAGCAGCAGUAGUGUAACUUUGAAAAAUCACCAAAAAUUGUAGAGAUUGAAUUAGAGGAUGAAUAAAAUAUGAAACUAAAGCUUAUUGAGUCUAGUUUCUUAUAAAAGAAAUGAUGUGAGCAAUGGAAUUGUAAAUCAUGAGAUAUAAUAGAUUUUGUGAGACAAGGUCAGAAUGAAUUCGGGUUCCCCUGUUCUGACUUUGGAAAAUCAUUAAAAAUUGUACAAAAAUGAUUAUGAGUUUUAGUUUAUAUGGUUAGAAUCCUUAAUGAGUCUAUUUUUAGAAGAAACAAGCUAAAACAUCAUCCGAAUUCUAUACAAUGAGAUAAUUAAUUUUUAGUGAAGAGUGGUUGGAACUGUCAGACAGCAAAACAGGGGAAACUUUAAAGAAUAAACUGUACUAUUUGGCUGAACCAAAAAUUAUGAAAAUUUUAUGGUAUUAAGAUAUGUGAGUCUAGUUUCAGGGAAAAUUAACGGAUCUUAAUUUGGAGCUCUGUAGCUCCGGAUAAAAAUAAUUUAGUGACUCUGACUCGGAUAAAUAGCUUUGAAUAUACAUGUUAGUGAAUAUUGAAAUUAUGGUUAAUGUUGUUUAAGUGUGUUAUACACAUUAAGGAUGUGGAAUGGAGAGGAGGAGGAGGAAAAUUGGGAAAUAUAUGAAUGAUUCGUGUAUAAAUGGUCAUAUGUUUGAUUAUAACUCAUAAACGAUGAAAUAUGAAUGAUGCUUAUUUUUGUGCAUUAUUGGUCAUGGUUUAAGCUCAUGUGUGAAAAUAAAGUUUCAUAGUAUGUGUGUAUGGUAUAUUCAGUAUAUGAUUUGGCAUGAAAUAAUACCAUGAAUGGUUUAUGAAUUAACACAUGUUGGUAAGCCUGAUAUAUGAAUAAAUGAUCAAAUUGAGCGGAACGCCGGAUUUGAGUACUUCUGAUCAAGUGACAAAGUGAUAAGUGGUAGCUUUAGCUACACUUAUCUGAUCAAGUGACAAGUGGAAAGUGAUAAGUAAUAGCUUCGGCUAUACUUAUCUGAUCAAGUGACAAAGUGAUAAGUGAUAGCUUCGGCUACACUUAUCUGAUCAAGUGACAAGUGAAAAGUGAUAAGUGAUAGCUUCGGCUAUACUUAUCUGAUCAAGAGACAAAGUGAUAAGUGAUAGCUUUAGCUACACUUAUCUGAUCAAGAGACAAAGUGAUAAGUGGCUACACUUAUCUGAUCAAGAAACAAAGUGAUAAGUGGCUACACUUAUCUGAUCAAGAAACAAAGUGAUAGGUGGCUACACUUAUCUGAUCAGGGACAAGUGAUAAGUGAUCAUACGUAAGACCAUAGUUAUACUAUGGCAAAGUGAAAGUGAAGUACUCAAUUUUCCGUGACCGUUCCGUAAUUUGAUUAAGGAUGGUAAGUGACAAAUGGGCCCAAAAGAAUUAAAGUAAAUGGAUAAGUGGUAGUGUAUUUAUAUCAGGACGAUGUUGUUAUUCAAACUAAAGUGAUAUUUUCAUUGCUAAAUUGAGAAUUUCAUAAAUGUGUUAUUGAAUGGUAUAAUCAAUAAACAUUGAGUUAAAUGGUAAAUACGUAUUAGUUUUGAAUUUGAUGUCAUUGAAUUGUACGUGAAUUAAAUGGAAAUUGCUAGUGAUAUGAUUUAAAUUAUGAGCAUGAGAAAUUGCGAAUUGAAUGAAAUGGAAAUGAAGCAUUAAAUUGCAUGAGUAUGUAUCGGGUCUCGCAGGCCCUAAUUAUUAUGAAUAUAUUAUUUUGAGGAUAUACUGUGAAAAGUUAUAGAAACAUGUUAAUUAUUUUGAAAGUUUUAAUUUUGAUGAAAUUUUAUAACUCGGUUAAAUACGUUUACAAGUGUAUGUGUUUUGGUAAUGCCUCGUACCCUAUUCCGGUGUUGGAUACGGGUAAGGGGUGUUACAAUAAUAUUCUCAUAUGCCCAGUUAAUAUCUUCGUAUUCCAUAAAAUCUGCAUCAUUUCGACCGAAAUGUUUUCAGAUAAAAUUGUGUAUUGUCAUUGUAGCAACAACGAUCAUGGUUUGCUUUUCAAAAAUAUAACUUGGCAUAUCCCUUAAAAUGGCCCUUUUUUUCAAAACACCAAAAGUUCGUUCAAUCACACUACGUAAUGAUGAAUGUGAAUGAUUGAAUAUCUCUUCUAUACCAGAUAUCGGUCUACCUCUACGAAAGUCAAGUAAAUGAUAUCGUAUGGGUUUUGCUUAUGAUUGCGGCACUCUUUAAUAUGUACCAUUUGCAAUACAUUUAAGUAAAAAUAUUAUUAUAUAUAAAGUCCUAAGGCAGUCAUUAAGAAAACCCAUGUAGUUACUUCAAACAUGUGGUAUUAUUGAUUAUCAAAGUAAUGGCAUUAAAGGCAUGACUUCCCCACUCCACCGGUCCAGGUGCAACUGCAUUAAUGGAGUAAAAAAGACACAUACCUAGCUACAAAACUCAAUUAUGGCUUGUUUCCAAACCUUACCAAACCAUGAACUCAACAUGAUACUUCAAACAAUUGAAUCACCAAACUAAAAGAGAAAAAAAGAAUUUCAAAAACUAGAAUAAAUUGCUUGGAUGUUUAAGUUCAAACCUGGGAAUAUAUAUAUAGAAACGCAAAAGUUGAAGCAAAAAGAAAAGAAAAAAGCCAGUGUAACCUCCAGUAAGAAGCUCAAAAGAAUGGAAAUGCUAGCAUUUACCAAUCAAAAUUAAUAUAUAGUAAAGUAAUUAAGUUGAAAAAAAGAACUUUGCAAAUGAAGAAGAGACAGAAAACAACACACAUAAAAAAUGGACAAAGACUGAUGAUGUUUGUAAACCAUCCAGAAAAUAGAAUAAGAAGAGAACAAAUCCAUCAACCACCUCUCUGAAAACUAUCCAUUUGCCAGCAGAGGAACAAAAAACCAGCACCAGCAGAGGAACAAAGAACGAGCGAUGAGAGAAGAGAUGAGAGCAAAGAACCAGUGUUGUAUGUGUGGUUAAAAAAGUAAAAGACCAGCCCAAAAGUACUUUUCGGCUGAAAAAGCUAAAAAAUUCUACUUUUUCAUCUGCCCAAAAGCACUUCAAAUAAGUUCGAAAUUUGCUACCAAAUGAAGUCUGUUCUGCAUUACUUUUUAGAGAAAAGCACUUUUCCUUUACUGAAUUGAAUUAAUGGAAAAAAACGACAAAGAGUGUAAUUUUUACUUUACUUUACUGAAAGUGAAUGGAUAAAUAUGGAAUUAGAGAAUAAAGAAAAUUGGGGAAAAAAGAAGAAGAAGAAGGAGAAGUGUUGUCAUGAUUAUGACCCUUGGAUAUUAUGGAAGAAGUGAAGAAAUAAUUGCAAUUGGAUAUUAAUUAUAAUGUUGGGAUUUUUAUUAAUGUUUUAAUUAUAUUAAUUGUUACAUGGCCGUGUGGCUCAAAUGGACGUGUGGAAGAGGUCAGUUUAUGUGGCUCCCGUACUUGUUUUGAUUUUCAAUUCUUGAUAAGUGUCAAAAGUAACAUAUUUUAAUUUCGUUCUUAAUACGUUUUUAGAUGAUUAAUCAAUGCAAAAUGGUGAAUUUUAUACUCAUAAUCCUUUAAAUUUAUAUUUCUAUACUUAUAAGAGCAUUUUGAGAGAAAAAUGAGUGAAAACGGAGCGAAAAUCAGACAAUUGGAGUAGAUUUUAGGAGCCACAUGGGUUGGACACACGAUCAUGUGAGCCAUACGAGCUGCCAGACAGCCAUGUGCCAGACCGUGUGGAUUUCGCGUUUCACACUCCAAAUAUGUGGAAUCACGCAGUUUUUAGGUUUUUCGGGCAUUCUUAGACCUAUAUAUACCAAAUAUAAGGAGAGAAGUAAGAGCCGUCAGAGAAUAUUGAAGAAAACAACUCAGAAGACACCAUUGAAGCCAACUUUGAAACAGAUUUCCACUAAGAUUGAAGAUCUCCUUUUGAUUUAUUUGAAGUUUAUUAUGAGUUUCUUUAUUUUUUUGUGGUUAUAUUGUCUUUGAGAUGUUUUUAUUCGCGAUUAUGAACUAAUUUUCUAAUACCUAGGGGAGAUGAACCUUAUGAUGAAUUUUGUCUUUUGAUUUCUGUUUUAUGCAAUGAAUAAUUGAAUCUUAUUCUUAGUUAUGUGUGCUUAAUUCUUGAUUUAAUAUUUUCGAAUUAUUAAUUCAUGUUUGAUGUGCUUAAUUCAAAGUAGAUCUAGCAUAAUUGAGUGGAGUUGCAUGUAAUCUUAGAAAUAGGACGACAUAAAUCUACCGAAUUAGGUAUUCAUAAAUGAGAACUCAAUCAUAUCCAUCGGCACAAAACCCAACCAGGCGAGUCACAUUUACAUAGUGGAUUCUACCCAUCGAACUCACCUCAUUGAUGAACUCUUAAUAGUUAACUAAAGUUUGCUUUCUACUUUUUUUUUAUUUCUAUUUUUAAGAAAAUGUUAUUUUAUUAAUUCAAUUAUCAAAAUUAAUAUUAUUUUAUUUAAAUUAGAUUAAUCCUCAUUUAAUUAUUACAAGUAUAUUAUUUUAGAAUUAUAAAAAUUAUUAUUUAAUAAAUUAAACAAAUAAACAUUUAAAAUCACAUACAUUACAUUAAAAACUAAUAUAUCUAAAUAUAUAUUUUACCACUUAUUUUAAUCUUGUUAUUUUUAAUUUCAUCAAAAUUAUAUAUCACUCGAGCCACUGCGACUGCUGACUGGCGAUUAUUGCCUGCAUAAUUUGAUGAAAGGUUCUGAAUUAAUACAUCCAAGACUUUUAUGAGCAUCGCCAUUGACUGACCGACGACUUGUAUGAAUGAAUUUUCCACAUUAGCUUUAUUAUGGACUGAUUUUUCAAAGAAAGAAUUUUCCACUUGCUCUCAGUUGCAGCCAUAAAAUAAAUGAAUGAUUGGCAUUUUACAUUAAAGAACAUCCCAUUGUUUAUUUCUUCAUCGGAGCUCCACCGGAACCUGAUGAUGUUAAGACCCAGACUUGUCUUGUUUAGCGUCUUUGCCCUUACUUUAUCUCUAUCCCCAGAUGUUUCCGAUGGUAGAGCAGGCAAAAGCAACCACUGCAACCCAUCUUUGUGUGGACACGUUAAUAUCAGUCACCCUUUCCGACUAAAGGGUCAGCCUCGAGAAUGUGGUGACCGUAGGUUUGAAUUAGAGUGCAAGGGAAACCGCACCAGUUUUCCCACGAAAUACGGAAACUUUUAUGUCCUAAACAUCUCUUAUGUUUACGGAACGCUUCGACUUGUGGAUGUGAGUCUGGUCGAUGAAAACUGCUCAAUUCCUCGCAGUUCCAUUGUCGAUUCUUCAGACAGCUAUCUAGAAUACAUAAUAGCGAAUGGAGCAGACACCAUGUAUCUGGUAAAUUGCACGACAAAGAUGAAGUCUUCUUCAGUUUAUGUCGAUGCUUCUCGUUGCCCAACCAAUAGCUCUUCUUCUCCUUGGACCUACUUCUACUUUCCGGUCUUGUUUUCAAAUAUAUCCGAUUUCCAUCAUUCGUGCAGAUUUAUAUGUUAACAUUAAUGGGAGACAACAUUAAUGGCAAACAAUACAAAGUGGUGCAAGUUUAGCACCCUAAAGUUGACUUUGAAAAAAGUGGCAUGGGAUAAUUUUUUUUGGUCAUUGAGAUAAUGGGCUAUUUAUUGUUUGGUCCUUAAACCUCAACUAUAAAUAGGCCUUCUCAUUUCUCAUUUCAAUUCAUCCCAACCAAUCUUUCUCUCUUAGUUUUAUCUCUUCUCCCAUUUGAGAAUUCUUAAGGAAUUCUAUUUGUUUGUAAUAUUUUGGAGAUAGUAAAGUUAUCAUCUGGUUUUAGUAGCCCGAGGACGUAGGUAUAAUUUACUGAACCUCGUUAAAACUCUUGUAUUCUUUUUGUCCUAUUUUUCUUUCAAUAUUUGAGGGUAUAAUAGUAGUAUUUAAUUGUGCUAUUAAAUUACGUUAGAAGGAAUAUUCUGACUAAGGAAAGACUUGGUAUUUAAGAGAUCCUUGUGAUCCACCUCUCUUCCCUGGGAAUUGAACUUUGUGUGAUUUUUAGUACAAUAAUUUACACGCUUCCGACCCUAUUGGAACUACAAGUGGUAUCAAGAGCCGAAGGUUAAUCGUAGUAUGCUCUGUGGUUGCAGUUUAAACUGAUCUUCCACAUCAGAAAAGAUUUCUUUAGGUAUAUUGAAAGAUUAUGGAGAAAACAGUCGGUGUAGGAGCUUCAACAUCGUCCAUAUGGACAAGACCGACAAUUGCAAAUGCAAGAUUGGCCGUGGAGAUCUUUGAUGGCACGGGCCAUUUUGGUAUGUGGCGAAGUGAGGUUCUAGAUGCCCUUUUUCAGCAGGGUCUAGACAUUGCCAUUGAUGAAGAGAAACCAGAUGAUGUACAGGAGAAAGAUUGGAAGGCGAUCAAUCGGUUGGCAUGUGGCACAAUUCGAUCAUGCUUUUCUCGAGAGCAGAGGUAUGCUUUUUCAAAGGAGACUUCUGCAAAUAAGUUGUGGGUGGCACUUGAAGAAAAAUUUUUGAAGAAAAACAGUCAAAAUAAGCUCCACUUGAAGAAAAGACUGUUUCGCUUCACAUACGUCCCAAGUACCACAAUGAAUGAUCACAUCACCAAAUUUAAUCAGUUAGUCACUGAUUUGCAGAAUAUGGAUGAGACAUUCAAAGAUGAAGAUUUGGCUUUGAUGCUAUUGGGGUCACUUCCUGAGGAGUUUGAGUUCCUAGAAACUACUCUACUUCAUGGCAGGAGUGAUAUAUCUCUGAGCGAAGUCUGUGCGGCCUUAUACAGUUAUGAACAGAGAAAGAAGGACAAACAGAAAAACUCAAUCAGAGAUACAGAAGCUUUAGUAGUCCGAGGUCGUUCAUACACUCGGAAGAAAACUCAAAAGGGGAGAUCAAAGUCAAAGUCCAGACUCGGGAAAAAUGAAUGUGCUUUUUGUCAUGAGAAAGGCCACUGGAAGAAAAAUUGUCCAAAGCUGAAGAAUAAGGGAAAAGCUGCUGUAGAUGCUUGUGUUGCUAAGCAUGAUACUAGUGACUCUGAACUAUCACUGGUUGCAUCAUCAUCGUCGUUCCAUUCAGAUGAGUGGAUAUUGGAUUCGGGUUGUACCUAUCAUAUGUCCCCUAACCGGGAGUGGUUCUCUGAUUUAGUAGAACUAAAUGGAGGAGUUGUUUAUAUGGGCAAUGACAAUGCCUAUAAAACUGUUGGGAUAGGUUCAAUCCAAUUAAAGAAUAAAGAUGGAUCAACCAGAGUUCUGACUGAUGUUCGGUACGUGCCCAGUUUGAAGAAAAAUCUCAUCUCAUUGGGAGCCUUGGAAUCCAAUGGUUCAGUUGUUACUAUGAGAGAUGGGAUUUUGAAAGUGACAUCUGGCGCACUUGUGAUAUUGAAGGGCAUCAGAAAAAAUAACUUGUAUUACUACCAAGGUAGUACAGUGAUUGGAGCAGUCGCUGCAGCUUCCGGCAACAAAGAAUUGGACUCAAUACAGUUGUGGCAUAUGAAGUUGGGACAUGCCAGCGAAAAAUCCUUACAAAUUCUGGCAAAGCAAGGAUUGUUGAAAGGUGCAAAGGCUUGCAAAUUAAAAUUUUGCGAGCAUUGUGUUCUGGGAAAGCAAAAGAGAGUGAAAUUCGGUACUGCUAUCCAUAAUACAAAAGGUAUUUUGGAAUAUGUUCACUCAGAUGUGUGGGGGCCUUCCAAGACACCUUCAUUGGGAGGAAAACACUACUUUGUUACUUUUGUUGAUGACUUUUCCAGAAGAGUUUGGGUGUAUACCAUGAGAACUAAGGAUGAAGUGCUUAGAGUUUUUCUUAAAUGGAAAACUAUGAUCGAAAACCAGACUGGCAAGAAAAUCAAGCGGCUUAGGACGGACAAUGGAGGGGAAUAUAAAAGUGAUCCGUUCUUCGAUGUGUGCCAAGAGUAUGGUAUUGUUCGACACUUCACAGUUAGGGAUACACCACAGCAGAAUGGAUUGGCAGAGCGUAUGAAUCGAACAUUGCUGGAGAAAGUUCGAUGUAUGUUGUCCAAUGCUGGGUUGGGCAAGCAAUUUUGGGCUGAGGCUGUGACAUACGCUGGCCAUCUUGUUAAUCGUUUGCCAUCAUCUGCAUUAGAAAGAAAAACUCCUAUGGAGGUAUGGUCUGGAAAACCGGCUACAGAUUAUGAUUCCUUACAUGUGUUUGGAACCACUGCAUAUUACCAUGUGAAGGAGUCAAAGUUAGAUCCGAGGGCAAAGAAAGCUCUCUUUAUGGGAAUCACUUCUGGAGUGAAGGGAUUUCGUCUUUGGUGCUUAAGCACAAAGAAAAUGAUCUGUAGCAGAGAUGUUACCUUUGAUGAAUCUGCCACAUUGAAAAAGGUAGCAGAUAAAGAUAUUCAGACGAGCAAUACUCCACAGCAGGUGGAGUGUACUCCAAAACAGGUGGAGUUUGAGCAGAUGGGGAUUUGCCCAGUUAAUAAGUCUAAUUCUCCAGCCACAAUGGAGGAAUUAGAGGUUGAAGAGGUUCUGACCCAAGAACCACUAAGUACACCAGAACCAGUUGCAGUUGCAAGGCCACGGAGAGAAAUUCGUAAACCUGCUCGAUUUACUGAUAUGGUGGCCUACGCCCUUCCUGUUGUUGAUGAUAUUCCUAUCACUUAUCAAGAAGCAAUGCAAAGCUUAGAAAGUGAUAAAUGGAAAAGCGCCAUGGAUGAAGAAAUACAGUCUCUCCGGAAGAACAAUACUUGGGAGUUGGCGCAAUUACCGAAAGGUAAAAGGGAAAUCGGAUGCAAGUGGGUAUUUGCAAAGAAAGAUGGAUCUCCUAGCAAGAAGGAUAUUCGCUACAAGGCAAGAUUGGUAGCUAAAGGCUACGCUCAGAAGGAGGGAAUUGACUACAAUGAUGUAUUUUCCCCUGUUGUGAAGCAUUCCUCCAUUAGAAUUUUGUUGGCCUUGGUAGCACAGUUAAAUUUGGAGCUAGCUCAACUUGAUGUUAAGACGGCUUUUUUGCAUGGUGAGUUAGAAGAGGAGAUCUAUAUGACUCAGCCCGAAGGAUACACAGAUGCUGGUAGUAGAAAUUGGGUUUGUAAGCUGAACAAAUCGCUAUAUGGAUUGAAGCAAUCCCCGAGGCAGUGGUACAAGCGAUUUGAUAGCUUUAUGAGAAGGCAGAAGUACACAAGAAGCAAAUAUGACAAUUGUGUAUAUUUGCAGAAGCUGCAUGACGGAUCUUUCAUUUAUCUACUCUUGUAUGUUGAUGAUAUGUUAAUCGCUUCGAAGAGCCAAAAUGAGAUAGAUAAGCUGAAGGCUCAGUUGAAUCAAGAGUUCGAGAUGAAAGAUCUAGGUGAGGCCAAGAAGAUUCUCGGCAUGGAGAUAAGUAGAGAUAGACCGAGAGGCAAGCUCUGUUUAAAUCAGAAGCAAUAUCUGAAAAAAGUAUUACAAUGUUUUGGUGUAAAUGAAAACACAAAACAUGUAAGUACCCCACUUGCUUUUCAUUUGAAACUUAGUGCUCAAUUAUCUCCGAAGACUGAAGAUGAAAGAGAAUAUAUGGCGAAAGUCCCAUAUGCUAAUGCAGUUGGGAGUUUGAUGUAUGCGAUGGUGUGUACGAGGCCUGACAUUUCACAAGCUGUUGGAGUUGUGAGCAGGUAUAUGCAUGAUCCUGGAAAAGGACAUUGGCAAGCUGUGAAAUGGAUUCUACGGUAUCUUCGAAAAACCGUAGAUGUUGGUUUAAUUUUUGAACAGGAUGAAGCACUUGGUCAGUUUGUAGUUGGAUAUGUUGAUUCCGACUUUGCUGGUGAUUUAGAUAAACGUCGUUCAACUACGGGGUAUCUGUUUACUCUUGCGAAAGCCCCAGUGAGUUGGAAGUCUACCUUACAGUCUACAGUAGCUGUGUCUACUACAGAGGCAGAAUAUAUGGCAGUUACAGAAGCUGUUAAGGAGGCUAUUUGGCUUAAUGGAUUAUUGAAAGACUUGGGAGUUGUUCAAAGUCACAUUAGUCUAUAUUGUGACAGUCAGAGUGCUAUUCAUUUAGCGAAAAAUCAAGUCUAUCAUUCAAGAACCAAGCAUAUCGACGUAAGAUAUCACUUUGUGCGGGAAGUCUUUGAAAAAGGAAAAAUUCUACUUCAGAAGAUUCCGACAGCAGAUAAUCCCGCAGAUAUGAUGACCAAGGUGGUAACAACAAUCAAGUUUAAUCAUUGUUUGAACUUGAUUAACAUCUUGAGAAUUUGAGCACCUUUAGGUGUAUGGCGCUCGAGAGCGCAUUUGGAGGCACUACAAAAGAUAGCUUUAUCGAAUUUGGGGAGUUGAAGGAAGUGUGUGAAUAUGUGAUUAUCCUAAUCAAAUCUUCAAGGUGGAGAUUGUUAACAUUAAUGGGAGACAACAUUAAUGGCAAACAAUACAAAGUGGUGCAAGUUUAGCACCCUAAAGUUGACUUUGAAAAAAGUGGCAUGGGAUAAUUUUUUUUGGUCCUUGAGAUAAUGGGCUAUUUAUUGUUUGGUCCUUAAACCUCAACUAUAAAUAGGCCUUCUCAUUUCUCAUUUCAAUUCAUCCCAACCAAUCUUUCUCUCUUAGUUUUCUCUCUUCUCCCAUUUGAGAAUUCUUAAGGAAUUCUGUUUGUUUGUAAUAUUUUGGAGAUAGUAAAGUUAUCAUCUGGUUUUAGUAGCCCGAGGACGUAGGUAUAAUUUAUUGAACCUCGUUAAAACUCUUGUGUUCUUUUUGUCCUAUUUUUCUUUCAAUAUUUGAGGGUAUAAUAGUAGUAUUUAAUUGUGCUAUUAAAUUACAUUAGAAGGAAUAUUCUGACUAAGGAAAGACUUGGUAUUUAAGAGAUCCUUGUGAUCCACCUCUCUUCCCUGGGAAUUGAACUUUGUGUGAUUUUUUAGUAUAAUAAUUUACACGCUUCCGACCCUAUUGGAACUACAUUAUAGCCCAGUUUCCUGUCAUGCUUUCCAAUAUUAGUGGCUUAUCCCCUUCGUACAUUUACAAAAACCUGUUGGAAGGCGUCGACGUGUACUGGUAUAUACCCUAUACUGAUUGGACUUUAAACCCGAUUCUCAAAGUGUAAGAGACUUCGAUCUUUAGAUUCUUUCAAUCUAUAACUUUUCAAGGUCUUAUUUAUUGAUUGGUUGCUUUUGUUUUUCCUUGGGGGGGUUAUUCUAGCCUGCUACAUUUGGUGAACUAUCUGCUACUUCCAAUUACAGCAUACAUAGUAAGCAAUGUGGCCUUUCUUCUACCGGGAAUCUUCGGCCAUUAUCCUUUUGGGAAAGGUUAAUCUUUCAGAUUUCAUAAGUAUCUUUAUUUAUUGGAUUUGCCCUUGAAUUGUAUUCGAGUUAGUAAUUUUAUUGUUCAAUUUGCGUUUUAAACAGGAGCCACCUUCGUUUGUCUUGCAGUAUCAGGUAAAUCUCUUUCCCUUCCCACUUUUUAUGUUAUCUUUAUAAAAUAAUCAUGAAUGCUGAUUUAUCCUUGUGUAUGCACCUUGAUGGGCAAGCAGGCAUAUUGUUAGCGAGAACUUUGUUGGGGAUAUUCUGCCUCAUUACACUUGUCAUACACAAACUAAAGAGGAGGCAUUUAUCGAUGGAUGAUAAUAUUGAAAACUUUCUUCAAAGUCAAAGUAAUUUAAUACCAAUUCGAUAUUCGUAUUCUGAAAUAAAAAGAAUUACGGAAGGUUUUAAAGUUAAAUUAGGUCAAGGAGGUUAUGGUUCUGUGUUUAAAGGAAAGCUUCGCAGUGGUCGGCUAGUGGCAAUAAAAAUGUUGGAUAAAUCCAAAGCAAAUGGGGAAGAUUUCAUCAAUGAAGUUGCUACUAUUGGAAGGAUUCAUCAUAUUAAUGUAGUGCAACUUAUUGGGUUUUGUGUAGAGAGAUCAAAACAAGCUCUUGUAUAUGAUUUUAUGGUGAAUGGGUCUUUGGAUAAAAUUAUAUUUUCAAAGGAGAAUUGCACUUUAAGUUGGCAAAAAUUAUUUGAGGUUGCAUUAGGUGUGGCUCGAGGGAUUGAGUACUUGCACAGGGGUUGUCAAAUGCAAAUUUUGCAUUUUGAUAUCAAGCCGCACAACAUUCUUUUGGAUGAAAACUUUAUCCCUAAAGUUUCUGAUUUUGGUCUUGCAAAAUUAUAUUCAGUGGAUGACAGUAUUAUUUCUCUCACAGCGGCUCGUGGUACAUUAGGAUACAUUACUCCUGAAUUAUUUUACAGAAAUAUUGGAGGCAUCUCAUAUAAAGCCGAUAUUUAUAGUUUUGGAAUGUUAUUAAUGGAAAUGGUGGGAAGAAGAAAGAAUUUGAAUGCAUUUGAUGAUCAUUCUAGUCAAAUCUAUUUUCCGUCAUGGAUUUAUGAUCGAUUUGAACAAAGAGAGAACAUAGAAUUAGGGGAUGUAACAGAAGUUGAUGACAAAAUAGCAAGGAAGAUGAUCAUGGUUGCAUUUUGGUGUAUACAAAUGAAUCCCACUAAUCGUCCUUCAAUGAGCAAAGUUUUGGAAAUGCUCGAAAAUGAACUUGAUCACCUUGAAUUGCCGUCCAGACCUUCACUAUUUUCUCUCGAAAAGUCAAUUGAAGAUCAUGUUAGUAAGAAUGUAUCGGAGGAACCAUCAACGUCAAAAAGUUGUGUGGACCUCUAAGUAUAAUGUUUGAUUUUAUUCGGUCCUUUUAUACAUAUAGUUCUGCAACUGUAAGCUUUUAAUUUGUAGCUUUUCAUGUUCAGUUGUAUAAUAUCCAGCAUCAUGUAAUACAACUAUUAAUGGAUGUGUGUUUUAGACUUUAGCUCCUUAGCUUCAUGUUUCAAUUAUUAAAAAUGUCUCCUUGUCACCGUAUGACGAGUUAAUAUCAAAUUUCGUUUACAAUUAUUUAGUAUAUAAGUAACUCUUAACAUUGCGUGAUCUCAUGAGAAGGUUUUUACUCUCGUAUCGUAAUAUAUAAUCAUGCUGAUAAGAGUAUUUUGUAAUAAUUAUGAGUGUGGUGUGACAGUUGCUCACUUUAUUUUUUAAUCAUGUAGCUCAUAGAAAUGGAACACCUUCCAAUGAUGAAUACCUUAAUUUUGACAAUUAAACAACAGUUAAGAUAGAAUCUUAUCAUUUAUUAGUAGAAUUUAUAUACCAACAGCCAUGCAGCGUUUCAUUUAUGAGUUCAAAUAAAAUCAAGUUUCAACUGAUUCUAGUACUACUAACAAUGAGGCUCGAGAUUGUUCUUAUUCCAUUUCUGAAAUAGUGGGUAGAUCUCUGUUAACCGGCUUCCUAGGUAUGGUGGCACCUAUCGUCUUCGGUGGAUCUAUCGACGCAAAAAGAUUUGGUGGCAUUGUAAGAACGUCAAGCUCUCCCUCUAACAUCUGAACCACCACUUUCAUCGAAGGACGAUCAACGGGAUACCACUGAAUGCACCAAAGUCCAACGAUCAUGAGUUUCUUUGCUAUCCCUGUUUGUGCAUCAUCUUCAAUUCGAAUCCCGAACUCCUCUCCUUUAUCCAAACGAUCAUAUGCCCAUUCUGGGAAAUACACUUGGCUUGUAUUCUCGACCGUAACAUCUAUGUUCUUUCUCCCCCCAACCAUUUCAAGCAACAGCAUUCCAAAACUAUAAACAUCAGACUUAUAUGACACAUUUCCGAAGUUGCGAGACAGUACCUCAGGUGCAAUAUAGCCCAUGGUACCUCUAGCUGUUGUCAUUGAAAUAGCACUUUGUUCCUUGGAACACAAUUUAGCAAGGCCGAAAUCAGAGACCUUAGGAUUGAAGUUGUGAUCAAGCAAAAUAUUGUGAGGUUUGAUGUCGAAAUGGAGGAUACGUUGCUCACAACCUUGAUGCAGGUACUCGAUGCCUUUGGCUACACCGACAGCAAUAUCCUGAAGUUUUUCCCAACUAAGGGAUCGAUCCUUGCCCUUGGCUGCAAAUAUGAACUUCUCUAAUGACUCGUUUGGUAAGUAUUGUUAAAGCAAAUAGAAACUAACACAGAAAGAAAUAAAAGAUCAAGAAGAGAAUUAUUGUUUUUCAUUGCUUUCAAAAUUGAUACGUGCAUGCAUUUAUACAAGUGAAGUCUAACUGACGUAAGCAAAGUAACUGCUAUUUAACUAACACCAGCUUUUAACAAACUAGCUACUUUUUGCAUGCAGUUACAACUGCAUUACUCUUAACAUUCCCCUAGUCAGUCGAUUUCUGAUUUUUAAGUUCAUCAGGCGACAAGACCCUAAGAGCAUAUCGAAACGUAGAAAACAUCUUAGGAGUAAUUGGUUUAGUUAGAACAUCUGCAAUUUGUUGAUCAGAUGGCACAAAAUUGACUUGUAAGUGACCUGCAAGGAUUUUUUCCCUGACAAAAUGGUGAUCGAUUUCAACAUGCUUCAUUCUAGCAUGAUGCGUGGGAUUCUCAGCCACAGAGACUGCAGAGGAAUUGUCGCACCACACAACUGGCACUUUGGAUGGAAAAAUGCCUAUUUCAGCCAACAAUUGUUGAAGCCAUAAGAGCUCAGAAACGCAAUUUGCGAGACUACGAUAUUCUGCUUCAGCAGAAGAUCUUGACACAACUGGCUGCUUCUUUGAACACCAAGCAACAGGAUUUGAGCCUAAGAACACAACAUACCCGGAGGUUGACCGUCGAUCCUCAAUGGAUGAUGCCCAGUCUGCAUCAGAGUAGCAUACUAGUUUGAGUUGACUGGGUGUUAGAAACAAACCAUGAUCUAUGGUACCAGCUAGGUAUCUCAGAACCCGUUUUAGUGCUCUCCAAUGAGCUUCUCUUGGAGCAUUCAUGAACUGGCUGAGUUUAUUGACACUAAACGACAGAUCCGGCCGUGUUAUACACACAUAUUGUAGCAUCCCUACAACACUUCUGUACAAGUGAACAUCUACCAAUGGAGGACUAUCAACUGAAGCGGCUAACUUUGGAUUGCUUACCAUAGGUGUUGGUGUGGGGGUGGCCUCGACUAGCCCAGUUUUUUUAAGUAAGUCAACAAUAUACUUCUUCUGACUGAGUAGAAUUCCCUGUUUAGUGUGCUGAACAUCAAUUCCCAGAAAGAAAUUGAGCUCUCCCAUAUCCUUGAGAGCAAAUUUGCUAUGAAGGUGAAGUAUGACAUCUGCCAUUUCUUGAUCAGAACUACCUGUGAGAACAAUGUCAUCAACAUAGACCAUGAGCAGAAGUUUCUUUCCAUCAGAUUCACGAAUAAACAAGGAGGAGUCAGCCUUGGAUGCUUGAAAACCAAGCUGAUCAACAAGGUACUGUUUAAGAGUUUGGAACCAUGCACGGGGUGCUUGUCGCAGACCAUAGAGAGCUUUGUGCAACUUACAAACGAGCUUCUGACUCGAGGAAUCACAUACUUCAAAACCAGGGGGUUGCUCCAUGUACAACUCUUCAGUCAGUUCUCCAUUGAGAAAGGCAUUAUUAAUGUCAACUUGCCUUAACGACCACCCAUUUAUAACAGCAAGAGCAAGAACCGUGCAAAUAGUGGAGGCUCGAACCACCGGACUAAACGUGUCACGGAAAUCAAAUCCUGCAUGUUGAGAGAAGCCUUUUGCUACCAGCCGAGCUUUGUAUCUGUCCACUGAUCCAUCAGCCUUUUUUCUUUAUCUUAAACAGCCACUUGCAUCCGACUGCCUUCCGAUUACUUGGUAGUGAGCAGAGUGUCCAAGUGUUAUUACGAGUCAAUGCCUGUAAUUCAUCACGAACAGCUGUUUGCCAGUCUGGAGAUGUCAUUGCAGUGUGAAUAUCAGAAGGAACCUCUGCUGAAGAGCAUUGGACUGUACUCAUAAAAACCUUUGGUUUGAAAGUUCCAACUUUACUUCUGGUAACCAUGGGAUGUAUGUUGAGGGAAUUUGAAUGAGAAGCUUGUAAUGUUUGAGGUGUAGGUGACAUUGAUGAGGUGGCUGACGUAGGGGUGAUAGGUGUUAACGUAUGAGGUGAAAGUGAAUUCGGUGAAAUAGUGGGGUUAGGUUGUUAUUGUACAGCUUGAUGGUCAGACAAGGAAAGAGGUGAUGUAGGUGAGGGACUAGGUGGUGUAGGUUGAUUAUGAAAAGAAGUGGUGGUAGGUGGGGUAGCAUGAGAUAUUUGUUUGAGAGGUAGGACCAGAAGUUUUGCACUAGACUGAGACACUGGGUUAGACGAGACAAGUGAUGGAGAAAAAACUUUAUAUGGGAAAAUGUGCUCAUAAAAUGUGACAUGACGUGUUACAUAGAUUUUUCCAGUUGUGUCCUGGCAUUUGUAGCCUUUAUGCAAUGAUGAGUAACCUAGGAACACACAGGGUGAAGACCGAAACUGGAGUUUGACUUUGUUAAAUGAUCUAAGAUUUGGGAAGCACAGGCAACCAAAAAUUCGAAGGAAUGCAUAGUCUGGCUUUGUUUUAAAUAGCUUCUCAUAAGGUGAUAUAUUUCCCAAAGGCUGAGAGGGUAACCUGUUGAUCAGGAAGACUGCGCUGCAAAAAGCUUCAUUUCAAAAUUUUAAAGGCAUGGUAGCAUGAGCAAGCAUGGACAGACCUGUUUCAACCACCUGUCUGUGUUUGCGCUCAACAAGGCCAUUCUGUGCAGAAGUGUAUGGACAAGAGAGACGCUGGACAAUCCCUUGCUGAGCUAGAUAGGGCUUUAAUGCCUGAAACUCUCCACCCCUAUCCGUUUGUAAAACAUGUAGCUUUGCUCCAAGAACUCGUUCAGCUUGACGAUGGAACUGAGGAAAAACAGUAGCAACCUCUGACUUGCUCUUCAAGAAGUAAAGCCAUGUAUAACGAGAAUAGGCAUCAGUGAAGGCAACGUAGUAACAAAAACCAUUAGAGACAAUUGGAGCUGGCCCCCAAACAUCAGCAACGAUCAACUGUAAAGGAGAGCUGUAUGUUGUAGUUGACUUGGAAAAAAGGGAGUUUAUGCUCUUUACCCAUAUGACAAGCAACACACUCAACAAGCUUUUUAUUAUCAGUAAACUGAAUAUUACAAUGUGAAAGAGCUUUUGUAAGAAUAGCACGACAGGGGUGCCCUAGCCGAGAGUGCCAAACAUUUAAAGGGAGCAUUUUGCUAACUGUAAGACAUUGAGCAUGUUUUGAAGACAGUCCACUUUGAGGAAGUUUGUUGAGAUGAAGCCUGUACAAGCCAUGAUGCACAGAACCCUUCAGGAGAACCUCUCUAGUCUGUAAAUCACGGACCUGACACUGAGUGGGAAAAAACUCAAACAUCACCCUGUUAUCUUUAGCAAACUUUGACACAGAUAAAAGAUUUUUAGUAAUACUAGGCACAAGCAACAAGGAUCUCAUAUACAAUGGUCGAGAUCAAGUAAUUAGUGAUGACUGCCCUGUAGACAGAACAGGAAGAGCAGAACCAUUGCCAACAAACACUUUACCUGGUCCUUUGUGUGAGUCACUGUCACUAAGAGAAGUAAUUGAAUUUGUAAGAUGAUGUGUGGCACCUGAGUCUGGGUACCAGGAGUUAUCAGCCACUGUUUCAGGAGUAGCCACAUAAGCCUGAGAUUGUGCUACGCCAGAGGAAGGCAUGCUGACCUGUUGAAAUGGGCUACCAACACACGGGUUAGGCCAGGUAGAUGGAGAGGGAAUUGGAAAACACCAACCUGGUGGAAACCACUGCAUAUUUUGUUGAGGAGGUGAUGACCACGGUAUUGUAGUGGGACUGGAGUUGACCAUACAAACGUUUGCUUGAGGAUGAGGCCGAUAGUUACUACUUUUGUAAGUGGAGUCAAACCGAUGGUAGCAGCGGUCGACUAGAUGCCCAGGCUUUCCACAUAGCUGACAUUGAAUCUUUGAGCCAGAGAAACGCCCUCGACCACGGCCCCGAGAACUAGUUGAUGAUUUGUAAGCAGGUACGGAACUAUUGUCAACAAUAGUUGUUUCUGAAUUCUGAUGAGACACCAUGUUGGCUGAGCUAGAAACAUCAGAGAUCACAACCUGUUGCCGAUUUUCAGUAUCAAGAAGCAUGGACGUGACUCCUUGAACUGUGUAAGGAACUUGACUUGCUGCAACAAUAGAAAUUACAGAUUCAUAUUCAGUAGAAAGACCAUUCAAGAUUGCUGUAACAUGCUCGCGCUCACUGAUAACUUCACCAUAACUAGCCAAAGCAUCACAACAACUCUUAACCUUCAUCAAGAACUCUUUCAUACUCAAGUCACCUUUGCGUUGGGAGUGCAAAGAUCUUCGAUGAAACAUUAAUUUGGAGGUUGUUUGCGUACCAUAUAAAGCAAUAAUAGCAUCCCAGAUUUUAGCACUGGUGUCCAUACCAAUGAGAUGAGGAAGAACAGUUGGAUUAAUCGAAGAUAGCAACCACGAUGCAAGCGCACUGUCUUGCUGUUCAUACCGCUCAAAUUCUGGAUUUUCCCGAAGACCACCAUUGUCACCUGCAAUAAACUGGACAGGAGUUUGCUGUGAGUCCAAGAACCCUUGAAGCUUAUGCGCUUUUAGUGCCAAGAGAACCUGUUGCCUCCACAGCAAAUAGGUAUUAUCAUCAAGAAGAAUACUAAUCUUCUUUGUAGAAAAUAACCUAUUGUCGACUACACCAUCAGCCGCAGCACAAUCCAUGACAACAAAAACAAAAGAGUAGCACAGCGGAUAGACGAGAAAGCUGACCCAGGAGAAGCCUUAAUCUGAUACCAUGUUAAAGCAAAUAGAAACUAACACAGAAAGAAAUAAAAGAUCAAGAAGAGAAUUAUUGUUUUUCAUUGCUUUCAAAACUGAUACGUGCAUGCAUUUAUACAAGUGAAGUCUAACUGACGUAAGCAAAGUAACUGCUAUUUAACUAACACCAGCUUUUAACAAACUAGCUACUUUUUGCAUGCAGUUACAACUGCAUUACUCUUAACAAGUAUUCAUAAACGAGAGCUCGGUCAUAUCCAUCGGCACAAAACCCAACAAGGCGAGUCACAUUCACAUGGUGGAUUCUGCCCAUCGAACCCACCUCGUUGACAAACUCUUCACCAUUUCCCUUGAAAUUAUUGAGUACCUUGACAGCAACUAAAACAUCACUGGAAAGCCUGCCUUUGAAGACAGUUCCAUAGCCUCCUUGUCCCAGUUUGUCCUUGAAAUGAUUAGUUAUCCUUUUAAUAUCAGCAUAGGAGUAUCUUGAGGGUUUAAGCUCUUUAUAAUCUUCCAAAAACUUUUCAAUCUUGACUUGACUUUCUUUCUCCUUUUUGUCUAACCGAUAUCUCCACCCAACUGCAAUGGCAAUGGUUGCAGCAAUUGAAGAACCCAACACAAUACCUGCAAAUCAGCAUACAUCCCUGUGUUAUAUCCUGUCUAAAAUUAUUGAAGCUAAAAGGGAAAUUCCAUUUACCUGCAACCAUUAGCCUUUCUCCCAAACCUGCCAAACAUUUAAAAUUAUUCAGCUUUGAUACAUGGGAAAUCUAAGAAAAGGGCUCACUGUAAGUUUACAACAUUAAGCUUCACUUUGAUGCAGGCUAAUGAUUUUUUUUUAUAGUUAUAAUAGUUAAAACAUACCUAUAUGGUGUUUGGGGAUAUCAAAACACUCGGUUUGUUCCUUGGUGCUAUUAUUGUUGUUCAAUCUACAUCCCCUUCCUUGAGCUUCGCAAUCACCACAGUCUGGUUUAUACCAACGUAAUUGAAAACGGUUACCAUAAGGAGAAAUGGGCGUUGAGAAGUUGCGAAAGUAGCUGCAAUUCAACAGGUUCUCUGGAUAAAUAGGGUCAUAAGAAGCAAAAGCUAUAAUUUGGGAGCCAGGGGUGCUUAAGCAAUCGACUCUGUUUCCUUCAUACAAAGCCUUAUCUUGGCUUGAACAUUCAAACAAGGCAUAGUUGGAUUCAGUUGGCUGGGAUAUAUAAACUUUUAGGCGGCUGAAACCUUGUUGUUCCACCGCGAAUGGAAAGGCAGAAAAAUUGAGAUCUAAAAGCUGCCGCCAGAGGCAACCGCCGGGAAAGUCCAAGUUAAUCCGCUGAGCUUCAUAAUCUAUGUGCUUCACCAACAGCUCCAGCGAACGUGGUAUCUUCAGCAGGGUCUGUUUGUUUUCUGAGCAGGAAAGCUGAAACCCAGGAUGAGGAUAGCCGCAGUGGGGUGACUGCUGGCCUUCUAAACGGAAGGGGAAAUGGACAGGUGGAUCCUGGUGGUUGCACCGCCGCGCCUUGCAGUCGUCUUGGAUUGGCACUGCUUCUGCAACAUCCACAGCUAAGAUAAAGCAGAAUAACGAGUAAAUUAACAUUGUUCUUACUAACUUGUGAGCCCCUGAAGUGAAACGGGCUUUAAAUAAUUUCAUUGACAUAGGUGGUUCAGCCCUUGAGAGUUCCAAUUAUGCACGCAACGCAGCUGCUGCUUUACCAUAUAGCUUUGUCUCGUUUAACAGGGUCUUCAACUCUCCGUCCUCUCUUUGUUCUCUUUUCUGAGUAAAUGUUAGACAUGUUUGAUUGUUAGCAACCCUUUCUAACUUUGUUACUAAUUUUCUUUUAUUCCCGUUAGUUGUAGUAAAAUUUGAGGGAAAAACACUGAACAUGAGAAUGAAUACCGAUUUGCUGUUGUGAUCAUAGUGGGGUCAGCUUGACUGACUCUUGUUUUUCCACCUUCGUUGAAGUUUCCUCUUCCCUUUAUAGUUUUUACUACAUUUUGUUUGGUAUGACUAAGUAGUUGACUGACUUUUAUGGGUUCUUUUUAAUGUCUAUCGUUUUUUUUCUAAUGUAGGUGAUUUUUUUCUCACUUUUUUUUUCUAAUUUAUCUUUUAUUUUUGGAUUUUAAUUCGAAAUCGCAAAACUUGAACCAUCAUAUGUUUUUAAAUUUUAAAUCACUUAUUUUAGAUAGAACAAAUUUUUUAAAAGUGGAUACAAGACAAAAUGACAUAAUUUUUUUAAUAUGAGUAUGGAACAAUUAUAGUCAUUGCUUGUUCUACUCGUCCUAUCUCGAAAUAAUCUUUUACCUUUUUUGUAUAUAAUUAUUAAAAUGAUAAAAAUGUAAUAAUAUAUUAUAGGAAAAAAAUCAUAUGUUUUAUAUUUAUAUUUUUAAAAAAUUAUGUUUAAAUACUUACUCGUCCUAUCUCGAAAUUUCUUGUAGUUAUACUGUCUUUGAGAUGUUUUUAUUCGCGAUUUUGAACUAAUUUUCUAAAUACCUAGGGGAGAUGAACCUUAUGAUGAAUUUUGUCUUUUGAUUUCUGUUUUAUGCAAUGAAUAAUUGAAUCUUAUUCUCAAUUAUGUGUGCUUAAUCCUUGAUUUAAGAUUUUCGAAUUAUUAAUUCAUGUUUGAUGUGCUUAAUUAAGAGUAGAUCUAGCAUAAUUGAGUGGAGUUGCAUGUAAUCCUAGAAAUAGGACGACAUAAAUCUAACGAAUUAGGUAUUCAUAAACGAGAACUCAAUCAUAUCCAUCAGCACAAAACCCAACCAGGCGAGUCACAUUCACAUGGUGGAUUCUACCUAUCGAACCCACCUCAUUGAUGAACUCUUAAUAUUUAACUAAAGUUUGCUUUCUACUUUUUUUUUAUUUCCAUUUUUAAGAAAAUGUUAUUUUAUUAAUUCAAUUAUCUAAAUUAAUAUUAUUUUAUUUAAAUUAUAUUAAUCCUCAUUUAAUUAUUACAAGUAUAUUAUUUUAAAAUUAUAAAAAAUAUUAUUUAAUAAAUUAAACAAAUAAACAUUUAAAAUCACAUACAUUACAUUAAAAACUAAUAUAUCUAAAUAUAUAUUUUACCACUUAUUUUAAUCUUGUUAUUUUUAAUUUCAUCAAAAUUAUAUAUCACUCGAGCCACUGCGACUGCUGACUGGUGAUUAUUGAAAGGUUCUGAAUUAAUACAUCCAAGACUUUUAUGAGCAUCGCCAUUGACUGACCGACGACUUGAAUUAAAGAAUUUUCCACAUUAGCUUUGUUAGUGGACUGAUUUUUCAAAGAAGGACUUGCUCUCAAUUGCAGCCAUAAAAUAAAUGAAUGAUUGGCAUUUUACAUUAAAGAACAUCCCAUUGUUUAUUUCUUCAUCGGAGCUCCACCGGAACUUGAUGAUGUUAAGACCCAGACUUGUCUUGUUUAGCAUCUUUGCCCUUACUUUAUCCCCAGAUGUUUCCGAUGGUAGAGCAGGCAAAAGCAACCACUGCGGCCCAUCUUUGUGUGGACACGUUAAUAUCAGUCACCCUUUCCGACUAAAAGGUCAGCCUCGUCGAUGUGGUGACCGUAGGUUUGAAUUAGAGUGCAAGAGAAACCGCACCAGUUUUCCCAUGAAAUACGGAAACUUUUAUGUCCUAAACAUCUCUUAUGUUGACCGAACGCUUCGACUUGUGGAUGUGAGUCUGGUCGAUGAAAACUGCUCAAUUCCUCGCAGUUCCAUUGUCGAUUCUUCAGACAGCUAUCUAGAACACAUAAUAGCGAAUGGAGCAGACACCAUGUAUCUGGUAAAUUGCACGACAAGUAUGAAGUCUUCUUCAGUUUAUGUCGAUGCUUCUCGUUGCCCAACCAAUAGCUCUUCUUCUCCUUGGACCUACUUCUACUUUCCGGUCUCGUUUUCAAAUAUAUCCGAUUUCGAUCAUUCGUGCAGAUUUAUAGCCCAGUUUCCUGUCAUGCUUUCCAAUAUUAGUGGCUUAUCCCCUUCUUACAUUUACAAAAACCUGUUGGAAGGCGUCGAGGUGUCCUGGUAUCGUUUUUGGCCUUCAAACCCGAUUCUCAAAGUGUAAGAGACUUCGAUCUUUAGAUUCUUUCAAUCUAUAACUUUUCAAGGCCUUAUUUAUUGAUUGGUUGCUUUUUUUUUUCCUGGGGGGGGGGGUAUUCUAGCUUGCUACAGUUGCUACUUCCAAUUGCAGCAUACAUAGUAACCAUUGCGAACUUUCUUCAGCAGGGAAGCAUCAACUAUUAUACUCCUUAUCAUAAAGGUUAAUGUUUCAGAUUUCAUAAGUAUCUGUAUUUAUUGGAUUUGCCCUUGAAUUGCAUUCAAGUUAGUAAUACUAUUGUUGAAUUGGUGUUUUAAACAGCAUCCUUCUUAGUUUGUCUUGCAGUAUCAGGUAAAUCUCUUUCCCCGCCCCACUUUUUUAUGUUAUCUUUAUAAAAUAAUCAUGAAUGCUGAUUUAUCCUUGUGUAUGCCCCUUGAUGGGCAAGCAGCUGGCAUAUUGUUAGCGAGAACUUUGUUGGGGAUAUUCUGCCUCAUUACACUUGUUAUACACAAACUAAGGAGGAGGCAUUUAUCGAUGGAUGAUAAUAUUGAGAACUUUCUUAAAAGUCAAAAUAAUUUAAUACCAAUUCGAUAUUCGUAUUCUGAAAUAAAAAGAAUUACGGAAGGUUUUAAAGUUAAAUUAGGUCAAGGAGGUUAUGGUUCUGUGUUUAAAGGAAAGCUUCGCAGUGGUCGGCUAGUGGCAAUAAAAAUGUUGGAUAAAUUCAAAGCAAAUGGAGAAGAUUUCAUCAAUGAAGUUGCUACUAUUGGAAGGAUUCAUCAUAUUAAUGUAGUGCAACUUAUUGGAUUUUGUGUAGAGAGAUCAAAACAAGCUCUUGUAUAUGAUUUUAUGGUGAAUGGGUCUUUGGAUAAAAUUAUAUUUUCAAAGGAGAAUUGCACUUUAAGUUGGCAAAAAUUAUUUGAGGUUGCACUAGGUGUGGCUCGAGGGAUUGAAUACUUGCACAGGGGUUGUCAAAUGCAAAUUUUGCAUUUUGAUAUCAAGCCGCACAACAUUCUUUUGGACGAAAACUUUAUCCCUAAAGUUUCUGAUUUUGGUCUUGCAAAAUUAUAUUCAGUGGAUGAUAGUAUUAUUUCUCUCACAGCGGCUCGUGGUACAUUAGGAUACAUUGCUCCUGAAUUAUUUUACAGAAAUAUUGGAGGCAUCUCAUAUAAAGCCGAUAUUUAUAGUUUUGGAAUGUUAUUAAUGGAAAUGGUGGGAAGAAGAAAGAAUUUGAAUGCAUUUGAUGAUCAUUCUAGUCAAAUUUAUUUUCCGUCAUGGAUUUAUGAUCGAUUUGAACAAAGAGAGAACAUAGAAUUAGGGGAUGAAACAGAAGUUGAUGACAAAAUAGCAAGGAAGAUGAUAAUGGUUGCAUUUUGGUGCAUACAAAUGAAUCCCACUAAUCGUCCUUCAAUGAGCAAAGUUUUGGAAAUGCUCGAAAAUGAACUUGAUCACCUUGAAUUACCGUCCAGACCUUCACUAUUUUCUCUCGAAAAGUCAAUUGAAGAUCAUGUUAGUAAGAAUGUAUCGGAGGAACCAUCAACGUCAAAAAGUUGUGUGGACCUCUAAGUAUAAUGUUUGAUUUUAUUCGGGCCUUUUAUACAUAUAGUUCUGCAACUGUAAGCUUUUAAUUUGUAGCAUUUCAUGUUCAGUUGUAUAAUAUCCAGCAUCAUGUAAUACAACUAUUAAUGGAUGUGUGUUUUAGACUUUAGCUCCUUAGCUUCAUGUUUCAAUUAUUAAAAAUGUCUCCCAGUCACCAUAUAAUGAGUUAAUAUCAAAUUCGUUUACAAUUAUUUAGUAUAUAAGUGACUCUUAACAUUGGGUGAUCUCAUGAGAAAGUUUUUACUGAUCUCUUAUUGUAAUAUGUAAUCAUGAUAAUUAUGAGUGUGGUGUGGCGGUUGCUCACUUCAUUUUUAAAUCAUUUAGUCAAGAAUUUGAGUUCCGCUCAAAGAAAUGGAACACUUACCAACUAUGAAUACCUUAAUUUUGACAAUUAAACAACAUUUAAGAUAGAAUCUUAUCAUUUAUUAGUAGAAUUUAUAUACCAACAGCCAUGCAGCAUUUCAUUUAUGAGUUCAUAUAAAAUCUUAGCAUUGGUGUAAUAUGAGUGUGCUAAUAGACGAUUUCAAGUUUCAACUGAUUCUAGUACUACUAAUAAUGAGGCUCGAGCUUGUUCUUAUUCCAUUUCUGAAAUAGUGGCUAGAUCUCUGUUAACCGGCUUCCUAGGUAUGGUGGCACCCAUCGUCUUCGUUGGAUCCGUCGACGCAAAAGGAUUUGGUGGCAUUGUAAGAACGUCAAGCUCUCCCUCUAACAUCUGAACCACCACUUUCAUCGAAGGACGAUCAACGGGAUACCACUGAAUGCACCAAAGUCCAACAAUCAUGAGUUUCUUUGCUAUCCCUGUUUGUGCAUCAUCUUCAAUUCGAAUCCCGAACUCCCCUCCUUUAUCCAAACGAUCAUAUGCCCAUUCUGGGAAAUACACUUGGCUUGUGUUCUCGACCGUAACAUCUAUGUUCUUUCUCCCCCCAACCAUUUCAAGCAACAGCAUUCCAAAACUAUAAACAUCAGAUUUAUAUGACACAUUUCCAAAGUUGCGAGACAGUACCUCUGGUGCAAUAUAGCCCAUGGUACCUCUAGCUGUUGUCAUUGAAAUAGCACUUUGUUCCUUGGAACACAAUUUAGCAAGGCCGAAAUCAGAGAUCUUAGGAUUGAAGUUGUGAUCAAGCAAAAUAUUGUGAGGUUUGAUGUCAAAAUGGAGGAUACGUUGCUCGCAACCUUGAUGCAGGUACUCAAUGCCUUUGGCUACACCGACAGCAAUAUCCUGAAGUUUUUCCCAACUCAGGGAUCGAUCCUUGCCCUUGGCUGAAAAUAUGAACUUCUCUAAUGACUCGUUUGGUAGGUAUUCAUAAACGAGAGCUCUGUCAUAUCCAUCGGCACAAAACCCAACCAGGCGAGUCACAUUCACAUGGUGGAUUCUGCCCAUCGAACCCACCUCGUUGAUGAACUCUUCACCAUUUCCCUUGAAAUUAUUGAGCACCUUGACAGCAACUAAAACAUCACUGGAAAGUCUGCCUUUGAAGACAGUUCCAUAGCCUCCUUGUCCCAGUUUGUCCUUGAAAUGAUUAGUUAUCCUUUUAAUAUCAGCAUAGGAGUAUCUUGAGGGUUUAAGCUCUUUAUAAUCUUCCAAAAACUUUUCAAUCUUGACUUGGCUUUCUUUCUCCUUUUUGUCUAACCGAUAUCUCCACCCAACUGCAAUGGCAAUGGUUGCAGCAAUUGAAGAACCCAACACAAUACCUGCAAAUCAGCAUACAUCCCUCUGUUAUAUCCCGUCUUAAAUUAUUGAAGCUAAAAGGGAAAUUUCAUUUACCUGCAAUCAUUAGCCUUUCUCCCAAACCUGCCAAGCAUUUAAAAUUAUUCAGCUUUGAUACAUGGGAAAUCUAAGAAAAGGGCUCACUGUAAGUUUACAACAUUAAGCUUCACGUUGAUGCAGGCUAAUGAAUUUUUUAACGUACGUUGUACAAUUAUAAUAGUUAAAACAUACCUAUAUGGUGCUUGGGGAUAUAAAAACACUCGGUUUGUUCCUUGGUGCUAUUAUUGUUGGUCAAUCUACAUCCCCUUCCUUGAGCUUCGCAAUCACCACAGUCUGGUUUAUACCAACGUAACUGAAAACGGAUACCAUAAGGAGAAAUGGGUGUUGAGAAGUUGCGAAAGUAGCUGCAAUUCAACAGGUUGAGUCCAUAAUAAUUUUCAUCAGAAGCAAAAGCUAUAAUUUAGGAGCCAGGGGUGCUUAAGCAAGCGACUCUAUAUCUUUUAUACAAAGCCUUCUCUUGGCUUAAACAUUCGAACAAGGUAUAGUUGGAUUCAGCUGGUUGGGAUCUAUAAUCUUUUAGGCCGCUGAAACCUGGUUGUUCCUCCGCGAAUGGAAAGGCAGAUAAAUUGAGAUCUAAAAGCUGCUGCCAGAGGCAACGGCCGGGAACGUAGAAGUCAAUCCGUUGAGCUUCAUAAUCUAUGUGCUUCACCAAUAGCUUCAGCGAACGUGGUAUCUUCAGCAGGGUCUGUUUGUU
Molecule: long non-coding RNA, 30688 nt
Filed under: Gossypium barbadense (sea-island cotton)
Lineage: Eukaryota; Viridiplantae; Streptophyta; Magnoliopsida; Malvales; Malvaceae
Description: long non-coding RNA (GBAR_LNC015216)
Source: RNAcentral